RNAcentral lists this transfer RNA (75 nucleotides) under Novimethylophilus kurashikiensis. Its description in RNAcentral is "tRNA-Cys". It matches the Rfam family "tRNA". From Rfam's summary of the family: Transfer RNA (tRNA) molecules are approximately 80 nucleotides in length. Their secondary structure includes four short double-helical elements and three loops (D, anti-codon, and T loops). The record is from RNAcentral. Lineage: Bacteria; Pseudomonadati; Pseudomonadota; Betaproteobacteria; Nitrosomonadales; Methylophilaceae.
GUGGGGUUGGCUGAUUGGCGAGGCACUGGACUGCAAAUCCAGGUUAGACCGGUUCGAUUCCGGUACCCCACUCCA